Molecule: transfer RNA, 447 nt
Filed under: Candidatus Synechococcus spongiarum
Lineage: Bacteria; Bacillati; Cyanobacteriota; Cyanophyceae; Synechococcales; Synechococcaceae
Description: 16S-23S ribosomal RNA intergenic spacer
Rfam family: tRNA (bases 233-305)
Source: RNAcentral
CAGGGAGACAUUACUGACUUUGAUGGUUGGCUUUACAAAUGCCAGCCCAAGGUCCUGUCAUCUCGAUGGUCGAUCGGUACCUCCGAUGGAAACUUCUAAUUUUCAUUUGGAUUCCUGAACUUGUCUUGGUCAAGCACGAUGAGAUUCGUGGGCCAUUAGCUCAGGUGGUUAGAGCGCACCCCUGAUAAGGGUGAGGUCCUUGGUUCAAGUCCAAGAUGGCCCAUCAUUACUAGGGGGUUUAGCUCAGUUGGUAGAGCGCCUGCUUUGCAAGCAGGAAGCCAGCGGUUCGAAUCCGCUAACCUCCACUGGCAGACUUUUCAAGUUUGCCUUUACGAAUCGAUUCGUCAUUCGAUCAGAAUCUUGAAAACUGCAUAGAUUGGGUCUGGAAGAGCAUCUCAUAGACAUUGAAUUCUAUUGAGAUUACAAGUGAAUCAUUAUGAUUUGCUU